Molecule: long non-coding RNA, 1424 nt
Filed under: Homo sapiens (human)
Lineage: Eukaryota; Metazoa; Chordata; Mammalia; Primates; Hominidae
Description: long intergenic non-protein coding RNA 906
Source: RNAcentral
AGUCUUGUCACAAAAUAUUAAACCUGGACCUGAUCAAGCAUCUGGACUGGCUUAUGGAUAUAGAGAAAAUGUAGGGGAUAGAUGAGCACGGGAAAUGUCUCCGUGGGGCAAAAUUCACGAAAUUCAGAUUGUUGGACACUCUCCAGGACAAAAGGUCUAGAUUCUUCAAAAACAACAACAUCGAAAAAAAAAAACUGCCAGAAAGAAAAAAUACAGAGGGAGAAGGACACAGAACACAUUUAUGAGUCUUUUCACCCUCAUUUCGUUGAAGAUUUUAUUGGCCGAAGAACCCUCAGUAGGCACGAAAUUCAUUCUCACAAGCAGAGAGAUGCAUUAUGCUCCAUUUAUUGCUCAUCCUAAAUUAUAAACAUUUCCAGUGAAUGUAAAGGAAGAUAUGAUUGAAAAGGACUCUGUGAAGACAGGAUGUUUCUGUACAGUCCUUGUAUCUGCUCACCUAUUCCAAACUUUCCAGAGAUUUUACCAGAGGUUUAAGAUAUUCUCCUGAGGGUUUGCUGUAGAGAGAUUUUUCUUAACUAAGGAGUGCAAGUAGCAAGCAAUAGCCCACCCAGUUGGAGACAAAAAAGAAGGGUGUCAGUGUUCCCACUGUUAAAAAACAAAAAAAAAUCACCCUGGACACCUCUGAGAAUUAUACAAGGGGAUGUACACAGCCCUGCUUUAUUUGAGUUCAAAAGGAAGGUGGGUUUUGAAAGAAGAACAAGGAGAGUAGAUCUCUCUGGAUCUUCUGAUGCUCACAGCAAAGAGCUCAAGGUAUCUGAGUCAACUCUUGAGGCUUCUUCGAACAGAGGGAUGAAGAGAGAAUAUGGCAAGCUUGCCAACAGAUCCCAGAAGUUUUAAGAGAAAAGAACAGAUUGCUCUUUGCAAAACAAACCGAGCUGGGUGCAUGGAGCCCCAGUAGACAGAAAAGGAAGAAACAGGCCCAGAGAAGUUGGGUAACUCAUCAAAGGUCACAGAGCUAAGAGUGGCAGAGUCAGGCCUGGAGCCCAGGAAGUCUGGUUUCGAAUUUCAUGCUUCUAACCUGAGCACUGUACUGCUUGGUGGAGUUCUCUGCUAGUCCUACCUUUCAGGCAGAGGUGAUGCAGCAAGAAAGCUGCCACCAGAUGCAGCCCCUUGAUCUCGGACUGCCCAGCCUCUAGAACUGAGUUGAAGAGCAAUUCCCUCCAGUUUCCAUUAGAAAUGCUUCUUCUUCCAUAUCAAAUAUUGUGAGAUAGCCUGAAACACCUUUCAACACUUUACUACCCUUCUCCAAAAUUCAACAGAUAUGAUUUCCACGGACUUUACUCACAGGGGCUUCAGUAGAAGAGGAAGAGGCUUGGGUUUAAUUGAAGGUGGCCUGAGACAUCUGUGAGGAACAGCCCUUUUAGAGACAUAUCCCCUACAAAUAAAGCAUCAGAAUUAUUAUCCUA